RNAcentral lists this ribosomal RNA (492 nucleotides) under uncultured bacterium. RNAcentral describes it as "partial 16S ribosomal RNA". It matches the Rfam family "Bacterial small subunit ribosomal RNA", at positions 29 to 507 of the family's 1533-position model. The record is from RNAcentral.
AGUGAACGCUGGCGGUAGGCCUAACACAUGCAAGUCGAACGGCAGCACAGUAAGAGCUUGCUCUUACGGGUGGCGAGUGGCGGACGGGUGAGGAAUACAUCGGAAUCUACUUUUUCGUGGGGGAUAACGUAGGGAAACUUACGCUAAUACCGCAUACGACCUACGGGUGAAAGCAGGGGAUCUUCGGACCUUGCGCGAUUGAAUGAGCCGAUGUCGGAUUAGCUAGUUGGUGGGGUAAAGGCCCACCAAGGCGACGAUCCGUAGCUGGUCUGAGAGGAUGAUCAGCCACACUGGAACUGAGACACGGUCCAGACUCCUACGGGAGGCAGCAGUGGGGAAUAUUGGACAAUGGGCGCAAGCCUGAUCCAGCCAUACCGCGUGGGUGAAGAAGGCCUUCGGGUUGUAAAGCCCUUUUGUUGGGAAAGAAAAGCAGCAGGUUAAUACCACGCUGUUCUGACGGUACCCAAAGAAUAAGCACCGGCUAACUUCGUG